UGGCUCAGGAUGAACGCUAGCGGCAGGCUUAACACAUGCAAGUCGAGGGGCAUCACGUCUUCGGAUGGUGGCGACCGGCGCACGGGUGCGUAACACGUAUACAACUUGCCCGUCAUAGGGGAAUAACCCGGAGAAAUUCGGACUAAUACCCCGUAAGUAUAGAGGGGGCAUCCUCUUUAUAUUAUAGAUUUAUUGAUGACGGAUAGGUAUGCGCAGCAUUAGGUAGUUGGUGAGGUAACGGCUCACCAAGCCGACGAUGCUUAGGGGAACUGAGAGGUUUAUCCCCCACACUGGUACUGAGACACGGACCAGACUCCUACGGGAGGCAGCAGUGAGGAAUAUUGGUCAAUGGACGAAAGUCUGAACCAGCCAUGCCGCGUGCAGGAUGACGGCUCUAUGAGUUGUAAACUGCUUUUGUAUGAGGGUAAAGUUGGGUACGUGUACCCAUUUGAAAGUAUCAUACGAAUAAGGAUCGGCUAACUCCGUGCCAGCAGCCGCGGUAAUACGGAGG
Molecule: ribosomal RNA, 511 nt
Filed under: Bacteroidetes bacterium M5
Lineage: Bacteria; Pseudomonadati; Bacteroidota
Description: bacterial SSU rRNA
Rfam family: Bacterial small subunit ribosomal RNA
Source: RNAcentral